ACGGGUGAGUAACACGUGGAUAACCUACCUAUAAGACUGGGAUAUUCGGGAAACCGGAGCUAUACCGGAUAAUAUUUUGAACCGCAUGGUUCAAAAGUGAAAGACGGUCUUGCUGUCACUUAUAGAUGGAUCCGGCUGCAUUAGCUAGUUGGUAAGGUAACGGCUUACCAAGGCAACGAUGCAUAGGACCUGAGAGGGUGAUCGGCCACACUGGAACUGACACGGUCCAGACUCCUACGGGAGGCAGCAGUAGGGAAUCUUCCGCAAUGGGCGAAAGCCUGACGGAGCAACGCCGCGUGAGUGAUGAAGGUCUUCGGAUCGUAAAACUCUGUUAUUAGGGAAGAACAUAUGUGUAAGUAACUGUGCACAUCUUGACGGUACCUAAUCAGAAAGCCACGGCUAACUACGUGCCAGCAGCCGCGGUAAUACGUAGGUGGCAAGCGUUAUCCGGAAUUAUUGGGCGUAAGCGCGCGUAGGCGGUUUUUUAAGUCUGAUGUGAAAGCCCACGCUCAACCGUGGAGGUUCAUUGGAAACUGGAAACUUGAGUGCAGAAGAGGAAAGUGUAUUCCAUGGGUGAAAUGCGCAAAGAUAUGGAGGAACACCAGUGGCCGAGGCGACUUGCUGGUCUGUACCUGACGCUGAUGUGCGGAAGCGAGCGCAUCAAACAGGAUUAGAUACCCCUGUGUAGUCCACGCCGGUAAACUAUGAGUGGUUAGAUGUUCGGUGGUUUCUGCCCCAUUAGUGCCGC
Molecule: ribosomal RNA, 748 nt
Filed under: Staphylococcus aureus
Lineage: Bacteria; Bacillati; Bacillota; Bacilli; Caryophanales; Staphylococcaceae
Description: bacterial SSU rRNA
Rfam family: Bacterial small subunit ribosomal RNA
Source: RNAcentral